This 273-nucleotide ribosomal RNA is filed under the name uncultured Ehrlichia sp. RNAcentral's name for it is "partial 16S ribosomal RNA". It matches the Rfam family "Bacterial small subunit ribosomal RNA", at positions 891 to 1160 of the family's 1533-position model. Lineage: Bacteria; Pseudomonadati; Pseudomonadota; Alphaproteobacteria; Rickettsiales; Anaplasmataceae. The record is from RNAcentral.
AGACUAAAACUCAAAGGAAUUGACGGGGACCCGCACAAGCGGUGGAGCAUGUGGUUUAAUUCGAUGCUACGCGAAAAACCUUACCACUUUUUGACAUGAAGGUCGUAUCCCUCCUAACAGGGGGAGUCAGUUCGGCUGGACCUUACACAGGUGCUGCAUGGUUGUCGUCAGCUCGUGUCGUGAGAUGUUGGGUUAAGUCCCGCAACGAGCGCAACCCUCAUUCUUAGUUACCAACAGGUAAUGCUGGGCACUCUAAGGAAACUGCCAGUGAUA